This 483-nucleotide ribosomal RNA is filed under the name uncultured bacterium. RNAcentral describes it as "partial 16S ribosomal RNA". It matches the Rfam family "Bacterial small subunit ribosomal RNA", at positions 28 to 507 of the family's 1533-position model. The record is from RNAcentral.
GACGAACGCUGGCGGCGUGCUUAACACAUGCAAGUCGAACGCUGAAGCUCAGCUUUUGUUGGGUGGAUGAGUGGCGAACGGGUGAGUAACACGUGAGAAACCUGCCUCCUUCUUUGGGAUAACGCCCGGAAACGGGUGCUAAUACUGGAUAUUCACUGGUCUUCGCAUGGGGGUUGGUGGAAAGGGUUUUUCUGGUGGGGGAUGGGCUCGCGGCCUAUCAGCUUGUUGGUGGGGUGAUGGCCUACCAAGGCUUUGACGGGUAGCCGGCCUGAGAGGGUGACCGGUCACAUUGGGACUGAGAUACGGCCCAGACUCCUACGGGAGGCAGCAGUGGGGAAUAUUGCACAAUGGGCGCAAGCCUGAUGCAGCGACGCCGCGUGAGGGAUGGAGGCCUUCGGGUUGUGAACCUCUUUCGCUCAUGGUCAAGCCGCAACAAUGGUUGUGGUGAGGGUAGUGGGUAAAGAAGCGCCGGCUAACUACGUG